Molecule: ribosomal RNA, 253 nt
Filed under: uncultured bacterium
Lineage: Bacteria
Description: partial 16S ribosomal RNA
Rfam family: Bacterial small subunit ribosomal RNA
Source: RNAcentral
GACGAACUGUCCUAACGUUGUUCGGAAUCACUGGGCUUAAAGGGCGCGUAGGCGGUCCGAUAAGUCGGGGGUGAAAUCCUGCAGCUUAACUGCAGAAGUGCCUUCGAUACUGUCGGUCUUGAGGGAGAUAGGGGUGUGCGGAACUUCCAGUGGAGCGAUGAAAUGCGUUGAUAUUGGAAGGAACGCCGGAGGCGAAAGCGGCGCACUGGAUCUCUUCUGACGCUGAGGCGCGAAAGCUAGGGGAGCAAACGGG